RNAcentral lists this ribosomal RNA (467 nucleotides) under uncultured bacterium. RNAcentral's name for it is "partial 16S ribosomal RNA". It matches the Rfam family "Bacterial small subunit ribosomal RNA", at positions 28 to 507 of the family's 1533-position model. The record is from RNAcentral.
GAUGAACGCUGGCGGCGUGCUUAACACAUGCAAGUCGAACGGAAAGGCCUCUGCUUGCAGGGGUACUCGAUUGGCGAACGGGUGAGUAACACGUGGGUGAUCUGCCCUGCACUUCGGUAUAAGCCUGGGAAACUGGGUCUAAUACCGUAUAGGACACUGGUUUGGAUGCUGUUGUGGAAAUCUUUUCGGUGUGGGAUGAGCUCGCGGCCUAUCAGCUUGUUGGUGGGGUAAUGGCGUACCAAGGCGUCGACGGGUAGCCGGCCUGAGAGGGUGUACGGACACAUUGGAACUGAGAGAGGGGCAAGAGUCGGAAGGGAGGGAGAAGGGGGGAAUAUUGGACAAAGGGAGAAAGCGUGAUGGAGGAAGGCCGCGGGGGGGAUGAGGGCCUUCGGGGGGUAAGAAACGCUCGAGAGGGAAGAAGCGUUGUUGUGACGGUACCUGGAGAAGAAGCACCGGCUAACUACGUG